AAGUCGUAACAAGGUUUCCGUAGGUGAACCUGCGGAAGGAUCAUUAACGAAUAUCUAUGGCGUUGGUUGUAGCUGGCUCCUAGGAGCAUUUGUGCACGCCCGUCAUUCAUAUCAUCUUUCCACCUGUGAACUAUGUGUAGAUCUGGAUAUCCCUCGCUUUGUUAACAAAGCGGAUGCAAGGAUUGCUGCGUCGACGAGACCGGCUCUCUUUGAAUUUCCAGGUCUAUGUCUUUUUACACACCCCAUUUGAAUGAUGUAGAAUGUAGUCAAUGGGCUUUCAAGCCUAUAAAACACUAUACAACUUUCAGCAACGGAUCUCUUGGCUCUC
The sequence is an unclassified non-coding RNA, 328 nucleotides long. The stretch from base 1 to 46 matches the Rfam family "Eukaryotic small subunit ribosomal RNA", at positions 1786 to 1831 of the family's 1831-position model.